CGGAUUCUGGCUCAGAUUGAACGCUGGCGGCGUGCUUAACACAUGCAAGUCGCGCGUGAAAGGACUUCGGUCCGAGUAAAGCGGCGCACGGGUGAGUAACGCGUGGAUGAUCUACCCAUGAGUUAGGAAUAACGGCUGGAAACGGUCGCUAAUACCAAAUACGCUCCGAUUUCAACUUCGGGGGAAAGGUGGCCUCUGCUUGCAAGCUACUGCUCAUGGAUGAGUCCGCGUCCCAUUAGCUAGUUGGUGGGGUAACGGCCCACCAAGGCGACGAUGGGUAGCCGGUCUGAGAGGAUGACCGGCCACACUGGGACUGGAACACGGCCCAGACUCCUACGGGAGGCAGCAGUGGGGAAUAUUGCGCAAUGGGCGAAAGCCUGACGCAGCGACGCCGCGUGAGGGAUGAAAGGUCCUCGGAUCGUAAACCUCUGUCAGGAGGGAAGAACCGCCACGGUGCUAAUCAGCCGUGGUCUGACGGUACCUCCAAAGGAAGCACCGGCUAACUCCGUGCCAGCAGCAGC
RNAcentral lists this ribosomal RNA (521 nucleotides) under uncultured bacterium. RNAcentral's name for it is "bacterial SSU rRNA". It matches the Rfam family "Bacterial small subunit ribosomal RNA", at positions 13 to 518 of the family's 1533-position model. The record is from RNAcentral.